GCCUGGCAGGGAGUAGGGUGACUUCGAAAGAAGAACUGCAGCGCCCCUUGGGGCUUCUUGGGGCGCCCAGGUAACCUCACCUGACUGCCAGCCCCAGCAGAAGGAGGGGAAGCCCGGAGCAGACGCGUGGGUAUGCAAAAACUGGAUCACUGAACUAGAAGCCAUGUGAGUGCAGGGGCCAUGUUUGUUUUGCCCCAUGGACCCAGAAGAGGAGCUCAGUAAGUUUAGCACCUGAUUGGACACUGUAAAUGUGACAGGAACUCAGAAACUCCUCACAGGCGGACUGUAUUCAUGCUGAGAGUAUGUCUUCUGGCUUCCAGCUACCCUUGCUGGUGAUGAGAUUCCCUGGGCUGCUGACAGAGGUGUGGAACCAUCUCAAUAGAGCCAACUCUGGACUCUGCCAUUUACUUGCAGCAUGAUCUAAGGCAAGGAACCUCUUCAGACACCACUUUUUUCAUCAAUAAAAUGGGUAUAAUAAUAGACCCUA
This is a long non-coding RNA of Sciurus carolinensis (gray squirrel), 487 nucleotides long. RefSeq lists it as uncharacterized. The transcript is spliced from 3 exons. NCBI's taxonomy places the organism in Eukaryota, Metazoa, Chordata, Mammalia, Rodentia, Sciuridae. The record is from RefSeq and is a predicted model, not a curated record.